GCCGCUUGCGGCCGGCGUACAGGUGCUGCAUGGCUGUCGUCAGCUCGUGCUGUGAAGUGUUGGGUUAAGUCCGCAACGAGCGCAACCCUGCUGUCUGUUGCCACCACGAGAGGUGGGGACUCAGGCGGAACUGCCGGUGACAAACCGGAGGAAGGUGGGGACGACGUCAAGUCAUCAUGGCCCUUAUGUCCUGGGCUACACACGUGCUACAAUGGCCGGUACAGAGCGCAGCGAGGCCGCGAGGCGGAGCGAAUCGCUUAAAGCCGGUCCCAGUACGGAUUGGAGUCUGCAACCCGACUCCAUGAAGUUGGAAUCGCUAGUAAUCGCGCAUCAGCAUGGCGCGGUGAAUACGUUCCCGGGCCUU
RNAcentral lists this ribosomal RNA (364 nucleotides) under uncultured Spirochaeta sp. Its description in RNAcentral is "bacterial SSU rRNA". It matches the Rfam family "Bacterial small subunit ribosomal RNA", at positions 1014 to 1382 of the family's 1533-position model. Lineage: Bacteria; Pseudomonadati; Spirochaetota; Spirochaetia; Spirochaetales; Spirochaetaceae. The record is from RNAcentral.